Long non-coding RNA from Solanum stenotomum, 1923 nucleotides. RefSeq lists it as uncharacterized. Lineage: Eukaryota; Viridiplantae; Streptophyta; Magnoliopsida; Solanales; Solanaceae. The transcript has 3 exons. The record is from RefSeq and is a predicted model, not a curated record.
UUACAUAAAUAUUUACACUACAUCAUCAUGAAAUGUCCUCUUCCUUUCUUCACAUAUAAGUAGAAAGAAAACUAUGACAAUAAGAAACUCUUCUUGCACUUGUCCAAUCACAUUACAACCAAAAGAAGAAGAAGUGAGAUAUCUAUAGAAGAAAAGAAGCAAAGCCCUGAAGAAAAAAUGUCUACUUAGAGAUAUGAUGCUUAAGCCAAGCAAACUUGCAAAAAAUUAUCUUGCUGCACAUGUCAAAGUUGCUUCCGGAAUUGUUCCAAUAUGUGGCCAAAAUGUAGAGGGGAUUUCAUUUAUGUCCAUUUGAUUAAUAAAAUGAAUCAGGCGUUCUCUCCCUGGCCUUGUUGGUAAUUUGCUGAGAAAAAAAAAUUCUUCAUGAGGAGGCAAGCAUCAUAACUGGCUAAGAUGCCUUUAUCUUCUUCAUUGAAGUUAACACUUUUGCUAUUUCCUGAACUUCUUUCUUACUGCUUCUAGUAUUUCUGUCUUGUUUACAAAGACUAAUUCUCAAGACAUCUUAUAUAUUUUGCCUUUAGUCUAUGACAUCUAACAUCAUCCUGGUUCAAUUCCAAUGUAUAUCCAUUUUUUAGGGUAGGGUAAUUCCACCGAGUUCUUAUAUACCUAGUAGGGUUCCUAUAUCCUAGCUCAUACCUAAAAAAAUAGCUUCGUAAUUUCUGCAGCAAAACUUAGCUUUUCUUCACCUCUAUGAUGGUCAUGUGCAAUUCAUAUGUAUGUUAUGAAGAUUUGCACUCUAGAGAUUUUUUUUUCGGAUAAUUGCAUUUUUUGUCCCUCAGUAAUUGGUAAAAGUUGAAUUUGAUCAUUGUGAUCCCCAACAUUGAACAUCUAACCUUAACAAUUUUAAAUGUUUGCUUUGGUCCUUCAGUAACAAACUCUCACAAAGCCUCGACUGCUUUAGCUGUAUGUAUACUUAUUUUUUAGCAUAUCCACGUUUUGAGGAUAUUUGCUGAGAUUUCUUGGACCUGUUGUUUUUUUUUUGCAAAUACUCACUGCAUGGUUCUUUCUGUGAUUACUCUCCAUGCUUUUCCUGUUUGAUUUGUUUUUUAUGGUUGUACAUUAGAUGAUUUUGUCUUACUGCUGUAAAAGGAAGUGGUCGUCUAAAAUUGUAGGGAAGUCCUUUAUCUUCAAUACUCUUUACAUCUUAUUACUGUUUCUCAGCGAUUGGAAAAUAGCUUUGAAAAGGUCAGGAAUUUUUUAUUAAGAUUCUUGCUGGUACAUAUAGAGAACCACAUUGAUUUUGGUCCUAGAUGCAAUGGCUGUUAAAUCUGAGGUAGUUGUAUAAGUUAUAACAACGGACAAUGGUACUUCUUGGUUGCAGAAAAUUAACUGAUGGACUCACUGAAUAUACCAGAUAAAUCUGUAAGUUAGCUGACGUUGUUGAUCUUAUAUAAGAUCGAAAGCAGUAUCGUGGGAGCUAACUGCAGGGCUAGCUAUUCUGUAACCAUAUUGAACUGAAGUGUCUAGAGCAAGGAGCGAAGCAGUUGGAGUUCUUUUUAUAAGGGUACCAUUUCCAGGUAUAUGAUACUGAGAACUCUCAAGAAUCUAGCUCAUGAUAGUCCUUUCGCUCGUUCUAUCUCAUACAACAUGACAGCAGCAGCUAGCUGAUUUCAAAGAGCCUGUGUGGAUUUGCAGUACUAAACUCUAAAGUAAAUGGUUCCCUUCAUCUCAACAAGUCAACUUGAGUACAAGAGCACGUUUCCAUUGUACUGAAGGUCUAUAAGAAAAGAAAAAUAACUCAUCCUGUGGAAAUCCUGACCUCGUGGAAUGUUCUCUCUUCAUAAAAGUCUUUUAUGUAUUAUUUGACACAUGGAACAUCAAGUACGAGCAAUACUGAAACAAAAGUCGUGCAUGUUACACAAUUCAGGUUUGGAGAGUCAAACAUUUUAUGAAUACUAUUGGUUA